UCCCUGGUGGUCCAGUGGUUAAGAUUCUGCACUCACAAUGCAGGGGGCCCAGGUUCGAUCCCUUGUAAGGGAA
Molecule: transfer RNA, 73 nt
Filed under: Ovis aries (sheep)
Lineage: Eukaryota; Metazoa; Chordata; Mammalia; Artiodactyla; Bovidae
Rfam family: tRNA
About the family: Transfer RNA (tRNA) molecules are approximately 80 nucleotides in length. Their secondary structure includes four short double-helical elements and three loops (D, anti-codon, and T loops).
Source: Rfam by way of RNAcentral